Molecule: non-coding RNA, 8701 nt
Organism: Myodes glareolus (Bank vole)
Lineage: Eukaryota; Metazoa; Chordata; Mammalia; Rodentia; Cricetidae
Source: RefSeq, a predicted model, not a curated record
CUGCCCUGACCCUCGGACUGGAAGCUGGGUGCUUGUUGGGGGCAUCCCCACCCCCUAUCCCGGAGGCCGGGUGCGGCACCUCCGCCCCUCCGCCCGCCAGCCGCUCCUGCAUUAAAAUUUCAUGGGCGCUGCAGUAAAUGAGAAGACGAAGCCGGCUGCACUGGGGGGCCGUAGGGAGGGAGGCUGCGGACCAGUGCGGGGAGGAGUUUACGAGGGGAGGCGCUUGCAGGGGCUCCCCCAGUUCUGUUGAAAGCAGGGCACAAAGAGCCCUCUGCACUCCAGCCGCAGGAACGAGGAGCCGAGGCCCUUCCUCCACUUCUGGGACUCAUUCCAGACUUGGGGCGUCCAGUGCAUCUCCGCACCCUCAUUGCGACAUCGCUCUGGAUGAUGAUCAGACAUCCUCCCUCGGAAAGCCACCGCUUUGGCAAAAGAGCCCCGCAAAGUGGUCACUUCCUGCUGAUCUCUGGAAGGCUCCCCAGCUUUACAUUCCCAGUGGCUUCUGGAGCUCAGGGCACCGGAGACUCCAAAGCACUUUGUGCCAGCGGGCUCUUGUCUGCUUCCUCAGUGUGAGCAACAGAAAGGGCAGGAGAAAGAGAAGCACCCGGGACCUCUGCUGAAGCCCUCCGCCAUCUCCCUGACAGCUUUGGUGUGAGGCCUGUCUGUUCACAUGCACAUGGCUGCCGUGUCUCAGUGGGAAAGAAGCAAGUCUUCAUCUCCUGCAUGGAUGCAGAUGGCAGAGGCCAACAGCUUCUGAGUCUCCCAAACCUCAAGGCUGAGGGGCCAUGGUCACUGGUAAAGAUCCCGCCAAGUUUCCGCAAUAACAACUUACAGAUAAGUAUCCCUUCACUAGUCCCGGGGCGCCAGCCUGCUCUCUGCUGGUGCAUGUGCAAAGGAGAGUUGGUCCUGGAACCCCAAGAGGGAGGGUGGAUGUCUGAUGGAUGGCUCUGGCUCUUGGGGAUGGCAUUUGUAAUCUUGGGUAGGCUCCUUGUCUUCCACAUACACAGAGGCCUCCGCAGGGCUUCCCACAGGACACAUUGCUUCUCUCAGCUCCAGGCUCCUGUGACAGCAGGCUGAGACUGUGCUACGAGAUGCUUCCCCUUCCUUGGAUCAGGCUCUGGACGACAGAUGUAGUAAAUUGUCAGGAAAGAGCAAAUCUGAGCCCAGGGUUGAGAGUCAGGGCGUCUCUUCCAUCCUGGUAACUUACGAUGACCUGAAUGAGCCCUGUACCUCCCUCUGAUUCCAGACAUGUUCUCUGCUGUGGGCAUCCAGGAAGGGUGGGAACUGAGGUAGACAGAAGGAUUGCUUUCACUCCCAGACAUUGCCUUGAAUGGCUAUUAUAGUGCCUUGUAUGGCAGGGCAGGAUGUGUCCCAGGGUCCAGAGAGAGGGAUAGGUUUCCAGCAAUGGCAGCAGUACUGAGGUCAGAGCUCCAGGCCCCUACUCCAUCAGGACUCCCCCUCUGCUGGCCCUAAGUUGCCCAGCUUGCUCUGAGAUUUCCUGGAUCACAAAGGAAACCACAGUGUGUCCAUGUUUGUGAAGGAUGCUCUGGGUGGCAGGGAAGAAGGAGGCAGGUGAGGCUCUUGGACCAAAGCAGGGCUUGGGCAUGGUCCUCACCUGGGCCAGGAUUGGCUCUUCUGUCUUCCAGAGUCAUGCUGUGUUGUCCCUGUGGGGGAGGAGCUAGAAGCUAGGCCUGUGAUGAUGUUGAUGAUGCCAGGCCGUGCUGGGUGUCCAGUGGUGAAUGACAGGGACGUGGUCCUACUCUCUGAGAUCUUCAAGUAAGAAAACAUCACCACAGCUCAGCAAGGGGAUAGCUCUGCCUGUCUCCAGACCCUGGUCUGCUUUGGAGCCCUGGAUUUUGACCUCAUGGAACGGGGAACAACCUGUCUCCCUGAAGAUGCUGUCCUUUCCGAUGCCAGAGAUGGAGCCCCCUGCAGAAGAGCCGUUUCUGGAAGAUACAUUACUUAGCAUCCACCCUGCCUUUGAUGAACAGAUCCAGGGUGGGAGAGUGGGGCACUGGAGGCCCUUUCUGAUCCCAUGUGGACUGGAGGUGGGGCGGAGUUAAGCCCCUCCUAAGGACCUGUGGGUAGGGCAGGGACUCAUGGGCAUGGAGGAGGAGCUGCUGGGGAGGAGCCCGAUGUCUGUCUUUUGUCUGUUUUUCUUUUCCUUUGUUUGCUGCUUGAAUGGUGGUUCUGUUUGGGUGCUUCCUGGGUGAGGCUUAGCUACCUGCUGGUUGUGGUGAGAGGACCGCCAGUCCUGGCCUGGGAGGAGCCUGGCUAGUCUCUGUGCAGUCAGCAGGGAACCCUGGAAAGAGAAAGGGGAGUCCUAAGAUAAGGAGACCCAGUAGGGAGGCCUACUGGCAGCCGCAUACCUCCAGCUUCCUCAGUCACUAGAUUAUACCCUGCAGGGGCUACAGAGCCUUUGCCAGGACACAGGGCUGCCCAGCCAUCGCCUCCCUCUGUGUUGAGUAGCUGCCAAGGGACUGAGACACCUGCACCCCUUCUCAGGGUGAGGUGCCCUAGUGUAACCCCAUGUCUGUUCUCCACUGUGGGUCACAGUCCCUCCUGAAGGAGAUGGCUCUACAGUGUGUGGCCUUCUCUGGGACAGCCUAGAAAGCCUUUUUCCUGGGGAGGAGGGGCUGUGGGGCUUGGCAACAGAGACUCACAGCCCCAGGCUUGAGGCCCUCAGAGCAAGAUCAAGGUGCCAGAAGUAGCUUUAUGUCCCUGUGUGGCCUUUCUCUGUGUCCAGAGUGAGUGGGCUCCAGGGAUUUGUCCCAUAAGGGCACAGUCACUUGAGGACCUAGGCUUAAGACCUCAUCUGAGCUACGACACACUUUGUCUCUCCAGACCUUCUCACUGGGGCUGGGGAAUCCAGCCUGUGCCUCUUGACUCUCACAGGGUCGUUUCACAAACAUGAAUAGCUAGAGCUGUCUCUCCUUAAGAAUCCCCCAUAUUGGGAGGAACAGAUGAAUGCCAAAUGGGUACACAGUUGCGGCUGUUGUGCCUGGUGUCUUGGGAACAUGGUGGCUGUAGCCAGUGCAGAACCAGCUCAGGUCUUGGGGCAUCCUCUGCUAUACAAGUCACCGUGCUCGACCAGCCUUGAUUUCCACUUUGUCAUGUGGGCCAUAUGCUCUCCUGGUGGCUUUCCAGGGGGUCCUGUGCCUGGUGUUCCAUACAGUCAUGUCCAUGUGGGAAUUUAGGGAGGUUAGGUUGAGGGCACAUCUGGAUAGGUAGGGGGCUUUCUGAUCCAGAGGCAUUGCUGCUUGGGUCACCCAUGUCUGUCUUCCUGACAAGCCUGGGGCUGAGGCCGCUUUUGGUCUCUCUUGUAGCUCUCCAUGGUUUCCAGAAGGGAAGGAGCCCUGUUUCCUGUUGCCAAUCUGGAGUCCACUCUGGUUCUUUGCUGUGAGCCAGUGUGGGAACCUGCUGCUGCCCAGCCAUGCUUCAGACACUUGGGAUUUCCUAGUCAGCGGGGAGAGAAACAGUUCCCAGGAAGGGGUAGAUAAUGGGCAGUCAACAGAGGCCCCGAGAGGGAGGGAGACCGCAGCUCUGGCACUCUGGAGGGGUUUCCUACUCAGGCUGACCCAACCAGGGCCUUGGAGGAUGAGAAAGGUACGGUUUAACUGAGUACCCUUGGGAAGAAAUUCAAGCAAAAAAGCGGGACUUUUCAGAGCCCUGAAAACACUAGUGAGCAAGCUUCAGAUACUCAGGGAGGGAUAGAAGGUUGAAGCAGUUCCUGGUUUUUUUUUAAAUUUUUAUUUAUUUAUUUAUUUAUUUAUUUCUGGCUACAGAACUAUUUUCUUACCAAACCCUGUCUAGAAUUCUGGGAGACACAGGUUGGUCAUUAGCAGGCACCUUGAAGUUGCCUGGAAAGGAAGGAAAUCGAAGAGGCCAGAGGUGAGAGGGGUCUAAGCUUUAGUACAUAGCUCAGUUCCCUGCAUGCAGCGUUUGUAGAGGAAGGCAGGCCAGGGCAGUGGGAGCAGCCAGAGGCCUGGGAGUUGACGAUAGGAGAGAUGUCCAUUUCCAAGCCUGGCAGCUCUGGGGUGGGGUGGGGAGGAUAGAUGUUUGGUGGAAAGACGCUGACGAGUGUGUUCAUGUGUGUGCGCCUGUGUGUUUGUGUACAUGUGUGCGCGUGAGAAGAUCCUGGCUACAACCAGGGAAGGGAGUAUGCCCUGAGGUCAAGCACAGGACAUUUCCAGCAGAGCUGGAGUGUUUGUGGGGGCUCUGAGACCCACAGCAGAGAAACGGAAGCUCUGGGCUUCCAGCAGGGGUCACUGAGGUCAAGCUUGAUUCCUGGAGGGGGUGCGUGUUGAGGGGUGUAGAGGCAGACCCCCUGCCCUGGUCAGGCCCCAUGCCCAGGCUGGUGGGGACAGGAGGUCUGUGAUGGUGGGGGGGCGUUAAAAGGGGGUGGGGUGCAUGAUGUGAUUUAACCUACUAACCAACUCAGGGCUCGGCCAGGACGCUGUGGCACAUGACAAGAUGCCUGGCCUUCUGUCAAUUGACUAAUCCACUAACCUGGCCUGAGCAUGUCCUACUAACCCUGCGGCAGCCAAACCCUACUAACUGCAGCCCAUGGGCCUUCCCAGAGGCUGGGGCAGACGAGGCUGAGGAAGGCCCUGCCUGGGGCCUGGGAUCUCUGUGCAGACCCAUCCUGCAGGGCAGGGCACGCUAAGAGACACACCAACUCUGCUGCUGGGGACUGUGUACCAGCCACCUACUCUCUGUGGUGGAAUGGGACCCUUCUACUCCCCUCGAUGCCUGUGGUGGGCAACGAAGGUACUGCUGCCCCAGCAGGGACUUCAAAAUGGAAAAAGACAGGGUGAGGGCAGGCUGCAGGGAACUCGGUGCUAUGUCCAUCCCCUGAUCUCGGGUGUUCUGCACACAGACCCUUCUGCCUGAGGCAGACACAUGCUUUGAACCCUUAACUGUCUCUUCCUGUUCUCUUCUUGCCAGCUUUCUCUCCCAUAGGCAAACUCUUUUGAUUACUAAUUGUCUAACCCUGGGGCACCCCACCCGCACCCCGCUGCCCCUUAACUAACUAACGGCCCCGCUGCCUUCUUCUCUCCUAGUGGCUCCUGUGUGUGUCCGCUGGUGCUGUGCUCUGACCUACUAACCCGGCCCUACUAACCGGUUUCUCUAACUAAUCCAGCCCUGCCGAGCUCUGGGCCUCCUGGGGGCUGGUCCCUCCUUCUGGCAAACAGAUGUCCCUGGGCUGACCAGGCCAGGUCUGAGUCAGGGGACAACCAUAUUAGUGAUGCCCAGAGGAGGAGGAGGAGGAGGCUGUCCUGUGGGUGUGGGACGCUGGGCUCCGAGCAUGACCUCUCUCCUCUGUGCACAGGACUGGUUGCCAUCAGGAGUGGAUGGGACCAGGGGAUCUUGUGGGAGCCAGUGUGGGGCCUGUGGAUCUAGCGUAGGAGAUACCAGGCCCUACUUAGCCUAGGCCCUCUGUGAUUUGGGCCAGAUAGAAAGUGUUAGGAACCCCAGAGACUGGCCAUCUUAUACAGGACCGCAAGGGUGUGCGUUUGAACCUCAAGCCGACAGAACGGCUUGGCCUCCGUGGAAGCUGUAAGUGAGAGCUUCCUAAGUAGGAAGUAUGUGAAGCGGCCUUUCCCUGUGAAGCUACAGAACAAAGUCAGGCAUUCCUCAAGUGAAGCCUGAGGAGACGGCAUCCGGACACUGCAGUCUGAGAAGAGAUGGCCAGUGACCAGUGGGCAGUGAGCCUGAGAGACCUUUCCCACUCAGGGGUGGGAAUAGCAAUCUGGAAGUAGAUGCGGAACCAUUUUCACACAGGAAGAAGGUGUGAGGGUAUUUUUCCUCAGGAAGUGUGGAGAAAGACUCGCCCCACACUUGGAAAGGACAGACUGCCAGCUGCCCUGGUGCACAGGUGUGGAAAUGCCUAUGGGAAGGGGACAUAGGUGCCCGGACAUGACUCCUAAGGGCCCAAGGGUCACUGGGAAGUCACACCAACUGUUUAUUGACCUGUUAAUGCUCAUGCCUCUGCCCCAGCCAGCCUCCCCCAGAGCCCGCCAGCUGCUACGCCAGGGCCACACCUGGAGGUGAUUUCAUGCCUCACCUCCAGUAGGCUCAUGGCCUCUCUGGGCUAACCUCUGACUCCCUCGCACUAACUAGCUCUUACCCAGCUGAUUCCUGCCUCUCCAUGGCUGCCCCAGGGGCUGACCACUAACAGCCAGCCCUGCCUAUUGGUGGGGGGGCGUAUGGGCCCAGGUUCCUGGCCUGGCUUUGGCCGGCUCACUUGAACUACCCUUCCUCUGGACUAAUUCAUUGUUCCUUUUGGCAGAAGUGAAUGGCUGUGGCUUUCUCUCUGACAGGUCUCCUUCCCUCCCGCUAUUACCACUAAUGGCUUGGAUGGCAGCAUGGCCGGGAAGGGGCUGGUACAGGUUCCUAGCUUGGUGGACGUGGGGGGAAUGUAGCUAGGGAAAGUAGAUCCCAUGACUGCUCUGGGUCAGAGCUUCCAAAUAUCAGUCAAGGUGGUACCCAGGCUGGGGUGUGGCUCAGGCCAGAAGAAAGGAUACGGUCAUCUACUGAGCACCUUGGUGGGGUCAGACCUACAGUCAGCCUUCUAGAGGUGUGGCCACUGACCCAACCCCCUAAUCUUAUGACCUGCAGGGCCUGUUAUCUCCUGGAAACUACAGCCUCAGUCCUCAUAAGCAGAGGCAGCUCGUAAGUUUCACCUAAGACACCUGUCCGGUUUCCUCAAAGGAUUUGUUAUUUACGGAAUUGCUGGAGACAAGACCAGGGUCUGCUUUGAGUCCUUGUUUGAGAGACUUACAGAGUUUUGUCCCUAUAAACACCAAACUCAGACAGAAAAAUCCACAAGGGCUGUAAAUUCUCCAGCCACUCCCACCCUAGAGAAGCCCAGCUUCUCUAACUCUUCUAAGGCAACUCUUUGACACAGGGUGCACUGAGGCGAGGGGGUGUGGCUGGUAAGGGGGGGGGGCUCUUAAGGCAAGGGGAUGUCCUUGGUGACCAGGAGUAGCAGGGGUGUGACACCAGGCUGAGGCGGGCCAGAGGGUCUUGUUUCACUGAGUUGGUCUGGCCUACAGGUCAGAGCCUAGACUAUUGGAGGCUCAGCGGCACUGUUUGGACCUGUGGGUGACCUCAGGAACAGGUUGCCUGGGUCAGCGGGUGCUGUGAGAGCUGCUUUCCCAUGGGUUAGGUCUCACUGCAACAGUUACCCAGCCACCAGCGAGCCUGUAGGAGCUACAGCGGAAAUGGAGGAGAUGCCCCUUAGGGAGGUGGGUUAGCAUACGAGAUAGGACUGGGAUGCACCGCUGCUGCCCUCUCAUGGCCGCUCCGCUUCAUUUUACCCACAAUGCCCAGGAGCUCACGCAGCAGAGGCUGCCCUCCUGGGGCCCUGCGCUGCACCAGGCUCUGGUACAGCUGCUGAGACUGGACCUCAGCCUUCUCCUCGAAGGCAUGAGAGUCCCGAUAUGGUCCUCAGUAGCUGAAAUUCUGUGUGGUGGUCCCAGGACAAAGAGCUCGAGUGAGGCAAGCAGUGGGGAGAGCUCUCAGAACAGGCGUCACACCAGCCAAACUUUGGUAAGCAAGGCACGGCUGAGUACAAGCCCCAGGCAACUCAAGAUCAGAGAGGAUCCAAACAGAUUCUGGGGGAGCGUAUUAGGUGAAGGGGCUCAGGAUGGGGCAAAUCCCAGGCCUCGUUGUCAGCAAAAGCGGGCUUCAUCCUUGGGGUGCCAGAUGUGGUCUGCACUUGUAAUUCGUAGCACUAAGGCGUUAGAGACAGAUCUGUGGGGUCCACCGGCCUAUCAGCCUAGCUCAUCAUACGGUCUGAGCCGGUGGCAGGGCUGGGGUUUCACGCUACUUCCGUCUCUUCAGCCGAGCAGGGAGGAGCUUGCAGUGUGUGCGGGCCACAUUCUACACUGCACCAGAACUUCUGGUCACUAGGAAGACCCUUUGGUCUAACUGGAAAGGAGCAGGGUUCAUAGUGCUCACCCUCAACCUUCAUUGGGGUUCAUGAGAGAUACCUGGAAAGCAAGGGACAGAAGUGACAGGAACUUAAAACUUAAUACAGACCCCAGGCCCCAAUGGUGUAUGCCUCCUUCAGAAGAUCUGGAGGUAGGUGAUGUUGACAGUGAUGGUGUGUGUGUGUGUGUGUGUGUGUGCGCGCACGCACAUGUGUGUGCAUGUGUGUGUAUGUGUGUGUGUAUGUGCAUGCAUGAGGGUGGGAGAAGAGAGUAUGACUAGAGGAAGUCGAGCCUCUGACGGCACAUUCUCUUUUGUCCCUGGGCUGCUCCUCCUCCUGUCUUUUCCACUAAACUUUAGGCUUGUUUUGAGCAGGAGCCUACAGGUUACAGUGGAGCCUCCUGUCUGAAGGUGUCAGUAUCUCUUUACAGCCUGCCUGGAGGGAGGGGCCACUGUGGAUUCUGCCCCAGGGUGGGUUGGUGGCAGUAGGACAGCCUGGGGGUGCUCAGGGUGGGAGCCCUGGUGCAGCCCUGGGGUCCCCCAACAGUCUCUGUGGAAUCUGUUCUAGGGCCCAUUGUUUUAUGACCAGCUUAUCAGAGAUGUGUGCAUUGUUUCUGCUGGGGAAUGCUGACUGUGGGCCCUGGAAGCCUGCUGUAAAGCCUGGAUUGUUCUGUGGGUUCACCCACAGUUACUGGGUCUUUUGAUGUUCAUGCUUGUUGCUGAGUCUGUGUAAGAUGCCAUUUUGAUAUUAAAACUGGCACACACUGGA